GAUGAACGCUGGCGGCGUGCUUAACACAUGCAAGUCGAACGGAAAGGCCCAAGCUUGCUUGGGUACUCGAGUGGCGAACGGGUGAGUAACACGUGGGUGAUCUGCCCUGCACUUCGGGAUAAGCCUGGGAAACUGGGUCUAAUACCGGAUAGGACCACAUUUUGGAUGGUGUGGUGGAAAGUUUUUCGGUGUGGGAUGAGCUCGCGGCCUAUCAGCUUGUUGGUGGGGUAAUGGCCUACCAAGGCGUCGACGGGUAGCCGGCCUGAGAGGGUGUACGGCCACAUUGGGACUGAGAUACGGCCCAGACUCCUACGGGAGGCAGCAGCGGGGAAUAUUGCACAAUGGGCGCAAGCCUGAUGCAGCGACGCCGCGUGGGGGAUGACGGCCUUCGGGUUGUAAACUCCUUUCGCUAGGGACGAAGCGCAAGUGACGGUACCUGGAGAAGAAGCACCGGCUAACUACGUG
Molecule: ribosomal RNA, 465 nt
Filed under: uncultured bacterium
Lineage: Bacteria
Description: partial 16S ribosomal RNA
Rfam family: Bacterial small subunit ribosomal RNA
Source: RNAcentral